GCUAACGCGUUAAGUCGACCGCCUGGGGAGUACGGCCGCAAGGUUAAAACUCAAAUGAAUUGACGGGGGCCCGCACAAGCGGUGGAGCAUGUGGUUUAAUUCGAUGCAACGCGAAGAACCUUACCUGGUCUUGACAUCCACAGAACUUUCCAGAGAUGGAUUGGUGCCUUCGGGAACUGUGAGACAGGUGCUGCAUGGCUGUCGUCAGCUCGUGUUGUGAAAUGUUGGGUUAAGUCCCGCAACGAGCGCAACCCUUAUCCUUUGUUGCCAGCGGUCCGGCCGGGAACUCAAAGGAGACUGCCAGUGAUAAACUGGAGGAAGGUGGGGAUGACGUCAAGUCAUCAUGGCCCUUACGACCAGGGCUACACACGUGCUACAAUGGCGCAUACAAAGAGAAGCGACCUCGCGAGAGCAAGCGGACCUCAUAAAGUGCGUCGUAGUCCGGAUUGGAGUCUGCAACUCGACUCCAUGAAGUCGGAAUCGCUAGUAAUCGUGGAUCAGAAUGCCACGGUGAAUACGUUCCCGGGCCUUGCACACACCGCCCGUC
RNAcentral lists this ribosomal RNA (547 nucleotides) under uncultured bacterium. Its description in RNAcentral is "bacterial SSU rRNA". It matches the Rfam family "Bacterial small subunit ribosomal RNA", at positions 851 to 1398 of the family's 1533-position model. The record is from RNAcentral.